GACGACAAGAAGAAGGAACCCUACCCCGCGAGCAGUAGAGGACAUGAACGAACCCUAAUCGCGGUACUACUGCUUCUUGGUGCCAUUGACUCUCCCUAUAAUUGUUGUUGCUGUGUACUUUCAUUGGCUCAGCAUGAAGUUGUUCAAGCAUGCUUAGCAUAACCUUCUCAGAUUUUGAAGGCA
Molecule: non-coding RNA, 183 nt
Organism: Vigna umbellata (rice bean)
Lineage: Eukaryota; Viridiplantae; Streptophyta; Magnoliopsida; Fabales; Fabaceae
Source: RefSeq, a predicted model, not a curated record